This 109-nucleotide small nuclear RNA is filed under the name Mus caroli (Ryukyu mouse). Lineage: Eukaryota; Metazoa; Chordata; Mammalia; Rodentia; Muridae. The record is from RNAcentral.
GUACUCACUUCGGCAGCACAUGUACAAAAAUUGGAACAAUAUAGAGAAGAUUACCAUGGCCCCUGUGCAAGGAUGACGCGCAAAAAUUCACAAAGAAUUCCAAAUUUUA